This 1421-nucleotide ribosomal RNA is filed under the name Ophiostoma californicum. Lineage: Eukaryota; Fungi; Ascomycota; Sordariomycetes; Ophiostomatales; Ophiostomataceae. The record is from RNAcentral.
GUUUAAUUUAAUUAAUAAUUUUAUUAAAAGUGGUGAACAGGUGAGNNUUAAUUAACAACCUACCUUAAGGCUGGGGUAAAUCCCCUAUAUAUAAAGGUAAUUUCCGUCUUAAGAAGAAUCGUUAAUUAAAAGAAAUAGGUAGUUGUUAAGGUAAUUACUUAACAAGCCAAGUAUUUUCUUAGUCGAAACUGAAAGGUUGAUCGAUCACAUUGGGAAUGAGAAAAGUCCAAGACAAGUGAGUACAGCAGUGGGGAAUAUUAGUCAAUGGCCAAACGGCUGAACUGGCAACUUGGAGGAAUGGCCUAUAUUAGAGUGAAAUUGGUUAAAUUUUUCUUGUAAAAAUAAAAUUCUGAUUAUAUGUAAUAUAAUGACUAUGUAUUUUUAUGUCUUGACUAAUUACGUGCCAGCAGUCGCGGUAAUACGUAAGAGACUAGUGUUAUUCAUCUUUAAUAGGUUUAAAGGGUACUUAAACGGAAGAAAUUAACUAAAUAAGGUAUUAUUUCUAUCUAGAGUUAUAGAAAAAAAGGUCGAACAUGUGGAGUAGGACUAAAAACUGCAAAUACUAUAUGGACUGGUAAGGCGAAGGCAACCUUUUAUAAAAUAACUGACGUUGAAGGACGAAGGCUAAGGUAACGAAAAGGAUUAGAUACCCUUGUAGUCUUAGCAGAAAAUUAUGAAUGCUACUUAUUAAUAUUAUUUAAUUCGUAAAUGAAAAUUUAAGCAUUUCACCUCACGAGUAAUGUGGCAACGCAGGAACUGAAAUCACUAGGCCGUUUUAGACACCAGUAGUGAAGUAUGUGUGCGACAAGGUAGAAAAAUUUUGCUUGAGCCGUAUGCGAUGAAAGUUGCACGUACGGUUCUUAAAGGGGGAAAGUUCGAGAGGACCUACCUAUUUUAACUAUUUAAUUCGAUGAUCCGCGAAAAACCUUACCACAAUUUGAAUUAUUUAUAUAUUCUGUUUUACACAAAUAUAAAUAACGAGUGUUGCACGGCUGUCUUCAGUUGAUGUUGCGAAACUAUGGCUUAAGCCAUGAAAUUGACCAAAACCUUUACUUUAUUUAUAAAUAUAUAUAUUUUAUAAAGUAUUUCAUCUUUACAAUAGAUGUUACGUUAGGGACCAAGAUAAGUCAUCAUGACCUUUAUGUUGUGGGCUGAUACGUGUAGUAGGAAUACACUAGAUUGGCUAACAAAAAUGAAAAUUUAAGCUAAUCUAAAAAAUAGGAUAAAAAAGGAUAUGGAUUAUAGUCUGAAAUUCGACUAUAUGAAUAAGUAAUUACUAGUAAUCGUGAAUCACCAUCGUCACGGUGAAUUUUGAAUCUGAUUGGUACUAACUACUCGUCGCAUGCUGAAAAGAGUACUUACAAAAAGUUUGCUUAUUUAUUGUAAAUAAGUAGAUAAUAGGUUUUAGAUAUUAUAAUAAA